This 292-nucleotide long non-coding RNA is filed under the name Phaseolus vulgaris (common bean). Its description in RNAcentral is "long non-coding RNA (PVUL_LNC004340)". The record is from RNAcentral. Lineage: Eukaryota; Viridiplantae; Streptophyta; Magnoliopsida; Fabales; Fabaceae.
CAUCUCCUCUUCCAUCGCACCUGCCCAAUUACCACUCUCUGAACUCAUAAUGGCUUUUGGGUAAGUGGAUGGAAUGUCAUCAACAACUGGAAGUGCAUAGGCAACCAUAUCCAUGAAACGAGCAGGCUUCUGAAUAUCUCGUCUCUGUCUUCUAACUGCAAUUGGCGCUGAUUGUUGUUGAGAUUCUUGGGUAGGAACCUCUUCCUCAUCUGACUCUUCUUCUGCCAUAGGAGAGUCACUUGUGGUAUUUCGUGUUGGGAUCACCACUGUCGGCUCAAACUCCACCUGCUUC